UUGUCAGCUGACCUAUCACCUCUUUGUAGGGGAAAGCCCAUAACUUGAAGCCAAGUGUCAAGGAGAAGCUGGUGGGCAGCCCAGUUCGCUCGUCUGAAGAUGUAAGCCAGCGAGUCUAUCUCUACGAGGGACUCUUAGGAAGGGACAAAGGAUCGAUGUGGGACCAGUUAGAGGAUGCGGCUAUGGAGACCUUUUCUAUAAGCAAAGAACGUUCUACGUUAUGGGACCAAAUGCAGUUCUGGGAAGAUGCAUUCUUAGAUGCUGUGAUGUUGGAGAGAGAAGGAAUGGGUAUGGACCAGGGUCCCCAGGAAAUGAUCGACAGGUACCUGUCCCUGGGAGAACAUGACCGGAAGCGCCUGGAGGAUGAUGAAGAUCGUUUGCUGGCCACGCUUUUGCAUAACCUCAUCUCCUACAUGCUACUGAUGAAGGUAAAUAAGAAUGACAUCCGGAAGAAGGUGAGGCGCCUGAUGGGAAAGUCCCAUAUUGGGCUUGUGUACAGCCAGCAAAUCAAUGAAGUGCUUGAUCAGCUGGCAAACCUGAAUGGACGUGAUCUCUGUAUCCGGUCCAGCGGCAGCCGGCACAUGAAGAAGCAGACAUUUGUGGUACAUGCAGGGACAGACACAAAUGGAGAUAUCUUCUUCAUGGAGGUGUGCGAUGACUGCGUGGUGCUGCGCAGUAACCUCGGGACGGUGCAUGAGCGCUGGUGGUAUGAGAAGCUCAUCAACAUGACCUACUGCCCCAAGACCAAGGUGUUGUGCCUGUGGCGCAGGAACGGCUCUGAGACUCAGCUCAACAAGUUCUAUACCAAGAAGUGUCGGGAGCUGUACUACUGCGUGAAGGACAGCAUGGAGCGGGCCGCUGCCCGGCAGCAGAGCAUCAAACCCGGCCCUGAACUAGGUGGCGAGUUCCCCGUGCAGGACAUGAAGACUGGUGAGGGUGGCUUGCUGCAGGUCACCCUAGAAGGGAUCAAUCUCAAGUUCAUGCACAACCAGGAGCGGAAGGUUUUCAUAGAGCUGAAUCACAUUAAAAAGUGCAAUACAGUCCGAGGCGUCUUUGUCCUGGAGGAAUUUGCCAGGCGCCGACGCUGACCGGUGGUGUAGUGGGUUCUCACCCUGGGGCUUUGAGUUCCUGCUGUGUUUGUGCUUCAUUCUUUUGUGCCCCUCAUCGCUGCUAUGAAAACCUUCGUUCUCCAGCAGGUAAAGUGACCUCGGCUCGUGCUGCCUCCCCCCCAGGCCCCUGCCUGGGCCCUGCCAUGGGUGGGACGGGCUCCCUUCAACCAGACCAGCUGCUCACACUGCCCUUUUCUCCGCCCCCCCCCCCACCUCCCCCGUGCUGGCUGACUGGUUCUGAGUUUUCUCCCCUGUGUGUUCCCUUCUCUCUUCUGCCAGAGAGAUAUUUGGGGGAAUCUUCCAACUCAGGAGAAGGACCUGGGCUUCUUGCUCUACCUAUGAUGAGUUUAUUCCCUGUUAACCCUGGGUCCCCCCCGAAUUCUACCUCCCAGGGUCAGAAGAAGGUGUGGCCAACUCUCAUCCUACCUUUUCUGGCCCCCAGGGGGACACCACACCCCUCUGCUCCCUUCUCCAGGGGCCAUCAGGAUGGCUGGGCCCCCGGGGGGGCCUUCCUCCUUCCUCUGGCCAAGCAGAACCCCUGCAUGGCUGGGGCAGGGGUGACUUAGUCUUGCAUUCUGGGCUGUGGACAUGUGUGUACUUUGCCUGAUGCUCCCUGUCACCUCCCUCCCCGGGUGCUAUACUCGCCUGUCUUCUGCUCGGUGUGUCUGCUCCAGAGCCCUCUGACGCUCUCCCUCACACAGGCAGGCCUGGGCCUCUCUUGCCACUCAGGGAAGGACACUUACAAGUCUGCUGGGUUUUAGUAUCAUGCCACUUCUUCAUCCAGCCUAAGGACCCUCUGCGUAGGGGCUGGGAGUACAGGGAACCAUGCUUAACAUGAACAGAGUGUCGGGCUGGUAACAGGGAUGAGUUCUCGGGCAUCUCAGCAAGGUGAGGCACAGGCUAGAGACAACGCUCUUCACCCGACCAACAUGGGGCAAUGCCCCACUGCAGCUCCUCGGGGCCCUGGACAUUAGCAGCGAUCAGGCUGGUGAAAGGCCAGCCCACUCCUGUGCGGAGGCUCUCCCAGAAGCGGCUAGAGUCGUGGCCAUCGAGCAGGGAGCCCCAGCAGACCCCACAGGUCUGGCUGCGGAGUCUGGGGCAGUGUCCUCUCGUCCAGCAGCGGCUGGGCAGGUGCCGUCAGAGUUUCCUGAAAUUAAAGAAGUGGUGAGCCACAAGUACAAGACGCCAAUGGCCCAUGAGAUCUGCUACUCUGUGUUGUGUCUCUUCUCGUACGUG
Molecule: non-coding RNA, 2345 nt
Organism: Leptonychotes weddellii (Weddell seal)
Lineage: Eukaryota; Metazoa; Chordata; Mammalia; Carnivora; Phocidae
Source: RefSeq, a predicted model, not a curated record